Molecule: ribosomal RNA, 464 nt
Filed under: uncultured Klebsiella sp.
Lineage: Bacteria; Pseudomonadati; Pseudomonadota; Gammaproteobacteria; Enterobacterales; Enterobacteriaceae
Description: bacterial SSU rRNA
Rfam family: Bacterial small subunit ribosomal RNA
Source: RNAcentral
CCUACGGUGGCAGCAGUGGGGAAUAUUGCACAAUGGGCGCAAGCCUGAUGCAGCCAUGCCGCGUGUGUGAAGAAGGCCUUCGGGUUGUAAAGCACUUUCAGCGGGGGGGAAGGCGUUAAGGUUAAUAACCUUGUCGAUUGACGUUACCCGCAGAAGAAGCACCGGCUAACUCCGUGCCAGCAGCCGCGGUAAUACGGAGGGUGCAAGCGUUAAUCGGAAUUACUGGGCGUAAAGCGCACGCAGGCGGUCUGUCAAGUCGGAUGUGAAAUCCCCGGGCUCAACCUGGGAACUGCAUUCGAAACUGGCAGGCUAGAGUCUUGUAGAGGGGGGUAGAAUUCCAGGUGUAGCGGUGAAAUGCGUAGAGAUCUGGAGGAAUACCGGUGGCGAAGGCGGCCCCCUGGACAAAGACUGACGCUCAGGUGCGAAAGCGUGGGGAGCAAACAGGAUUAGAUACCCGUGUAGUC